GUAUAGAACGCCUUCGGCUGAUGCGUAUAAAACUAUGGCCGUUAGAAAAUUGCGCCAUGUUUUAGUUCACGAGUGAAUUGUUUUCCGAAAGUGAAUAUAUUAAAGUAAUCUUUCUUAAAUAUUCUAUUUCUCGAAGAUUGACGAAGAAGUAAGCUUGAAAAAGUUUCACGUGUUAGCACGAUAAAAUAGGUCAAAUAAAAGUAGCCAAAGAUAAACAAAUUAUUGGCAGUAAAGAAUUUAAUUUCUUAGUUCUUUUUAAUUCAUCGUGGGUAAAUUUGAUCCGUGUGAGAUCGAACUGUUUAAAUAUUUCAGUAUGGUAUUGGUAAACAAAAUGUCGGUAGAUAAUCUCAGUGAUGCAGAAUUACGUAGUAAGCUUAUGGAAUAUGGAUACCCGGUAGGACCUGUAACACAGACAACCAGAAAAAUACUUGCUAAAAAACUAAAGACUCUUAUUGAAACCCGAGGUCUUGCUGGAACGCGUCAUUCGUUAGCUGCCAGAUACAGCAGCGAUGAGACCGAUGAGGAUACAGCUUCAACCGUUGUUAAAAAAAAAAAAUCAGCAUCUAAUACUCGUCGACAAACUUUGGCCAAUCCUAUGCCCCCACCAUCUUCUAUGAUACCAGCACCUUCGGAAACUAAAAAUUUGAUGAAAGAUCCCAACGUAGAAAUUGUUGAUAAUAUUAUACCAGAGCCGGUUGGUUCAUCAACAUUUUCUAAUCGUACCAUUACAAGUUUACAAAAGAAACAUACAAAGAUUUAUAAUUCAGCCAAUCGAUCAGAUGGUUUAGAAACUGGUUCCGAUUCAGAUAUUAGAGAAGAAAACGAGUCGUCGAAUUAUUUGCAAAGUAGAUAUUUAACUAAUGUUGGAAAGUUGUAUGGUUCUAAAUUACAUACCGAGCCUACGGUUGGAGAAGAACCAUCUUCAAAAUUAUACGAAUCAAAGUCAAGACCUGUACAUACUCCUAAAGAUAAUAAGUAUGUCGAACCUCCUUUUAAAACUUAUAAUACUUUUAUAUCACCAACUAAGGAAGAUACGAAUGUAAGAGAUUCGAGAGAUUUGCUUUCGAACUAUGACACUCCAUUUUUAUCAGAAUUUACACGAAGGCUCAGUUCUAGAGCGACAUUGGAUACCCCUUCUACAUCUCACUCUUCGAUGAAUAGUUCUAUAAUACGAGACUCACCCUCUGUUUUUCCUGAAACAUACAAGAAGGAUUUAAAUCAUCAUUUCUCUUCUUUAAAAUCGUUGUGUUCAACUUUGCCUGCGGGUUUAAGAACAGUUGAUGCAAUUACCGACAGAUCUCGUAAAACUAUUGGCAAAAAAUUCAAGUCCAACUCGAAUAAGGAAGAUUUACGGAACAACCAAAAUAUGAUAUCUGUCUUCCUAGUGGUGGUACUUGCUUUAUUUUUUGCAAUCCUGGCAAUAAUAUACUUGGGGCUGGGUGGUAAAAAUGAAACUUUCCCAUCAUUAUCAAUGGAUAGCGAUAUACCGCUGUGUUUUAUGGGAACGCCUGAUCUCAAAGCACCAGGAGUUAAUUGUGUAAUGAAAGAAAAUGUAGAAAAAGUAUUACUAUUAUUAAAACAACUUCAACCGGUUUUAUUGAAAAAAGCAAUAUCUGUCCUAUGCGACAAUUCUAGUGAUAUACCAUAUUUAACGGACUCGGAAAUUGAGGAUAUGUUGUUAAAAACUAAAUUGGACCCUCUAGUAGUGAAAGAAUAUUUACAAAAUGCACAACUUCUUAUUAUUAAGAAUCCUCAAUGGGGUAUUUCACUUAUUGAUGUAAGCGAUGGCGAUAAGACUUCUGGAGAAGUAUUAAAUUCGUUGGAUAGUAUAUUUUCAGCACGUAUAAAUGGAAAAAUUGGAAUGAUUAUAUUGAAUCCAGAUCGACCAUUGCAAUGUCAUAUCAAGAAUAAGUUAUUCACCAUUUUUUCAACUCUCCUGAUAAUCUCCCUUGGCAUUUUAGCAGUUAUCGGAACGCAGAAAUUAUUCGUUUGGUAUAAAAGAUAUCAAAAAUCAAUGGAAAGAGAACUAUUUAAGCUAGUUAGCGAAAUCAUUAACAUCGUUGAACAGCAUCAUCAAAAUGUUGGAUUAUCAUCCUCCGGUACGACGCAAGAUACAUUUCUUGCGAUCAAUCACGUGCGUGAUAAUUUGAUUUUGCCGAAAGAUCGUAAAAGAAUGUCUAGUUUAUGGGAAAAAGCUGUUAAAUUCUUGGACGAGAAUGAAUCUAGAAUUCGAAGAGAAGUACAACAAGUUGCUGGUGAAGAAUUUCACGUAUGGCGUUGGUUACCUAAUAAUACUCUUAACGUGUCUAACGCGCAAAGUCCUUCGUUGAAUAAAAAAUCCAAAGUAUGGCAAGGACAAGCGUUUGAAACUAUGGAAGGAUCGGUUAAUAGUUUAACUUGUUCGCCGACUCCCUGCUUAAAAAUAAGACAUAUGUUUGAUCCAGAUGCAAAAGUGUGGAGAAGGUGUGCAAAUACUUCAUAUUCGAGUGGAUCGCGGUAGCCGAGAAGGUUGCGUUUAUAUGAAGUGCACAUCGCAGAGAGAUGCUGGAAAAGCUUACAGAGCAUUACACGGCUGGUGGUUUGACGGUCAUUUAGUAACCGUCAAAUAUUUGCGACUUGAACGAUAUUACAAAAGAUUUCCAGACGCUGUGCAAUGCACGACGGCUUUGAAACCAAGCAAUAAUAAACGGUUAUCCAUGCAGGCACACUAUUGGCAAAGUCCGUUAGAAUCUAAUUAAUGGAAACUGUCCACCACAUGCUCCAUCAUAUCUUGCAAAAAAAAAAAAAAAGAAAGAAAGAGAAAAAAAGAAAAAA
Molecule: unclassified non-coding RNA, 2814 nt
Filed under: Polistes canadensis
Lineage: Eukaryota; Metazoa; Arthropoda; Insecta; Hymenoptera; Vespidae
Description: inner nuclear membrane protein Man1, transcript variant X1
Source: RNAcentral